Molecule: long non-coding RNA, 798 nt
Filed under: Capra hircus (goat)
Lineage: Eukaryota; Metazoa; Chordata; Mammalia; Artiodactyla; Bovidae
Description: lncRNA (ENSCHIG00000005310.1)
Source: RNAcentral
AAGGAGGUGGUGGCCGCGCGGGAGAAACGGAGCUCCCAGCACGCGCACAGUGGUACAGACGGUCGCCGGGUGUGCCCAACCGCGCGCGCUGCGGGCAGCCGGGGGAGAGCAUUUUAGGGAAAAAAAAAAAAAAAGAACAAAUACCAAACCACAAAAACUUUACUGCUGCCAAGAGCUCAAGCGAUCGAGGCGCAGCAAAGCUCCAAAUCUGGGCAAGAUGAAAGCAAGAUGAGACGCUGGGUGGUUUGGCGGGGGGGUACCAAAGCGGUGCGGUGGCCCGGGCAAGUGGCGGCGGCGGCGCCUCGGGGCUGUCAGAGCCGGGUCGGUCAGGCUCCCGGCGCGCGCUUACCUUGGCGGCUGCAUGAGCCCCUGCAGCCCGCGGGGGGUGGCGCUGGCCGGGCGGCGGGAGAAGAGGGGGUGCCUGGGCGCCGCUCUCGGCCCCGGGGCAAGGUGGGAGGGGCUCGGCAGGCGCUGGUCCCCGCCACCCCGGCCGGCUCAGCAGCGGCCCGGGGCGCGCCGCUUGCUCCCGGGCUGCAUGCCUGCGAGCGCCUGGAGGAGCCGGCCCGAGAGCGAACGGCGAGUGCUUCCCCAGCCCAGAGGCUCGGGAGGCGCAGCCGGCGCUCGGGAGACGACUGCCGAGUCGGGCUGCUCGGGCCAGCCCCCUCCCUCGCCCGGCCCCCGCCCGCCGCCGCCGCCGCCGCCGAGCGCUCGGCGUCGCAAGAAAACAAGCUGUCUUUGGAUUUGGAUGUGAUGAGACCUCUGGAUUUGCAAAAUAAAAAGCAUGACCCAGGGUGCUAA